This 73-nucleotide transfer RNA is filed under the name Nostoc sp. NIES-3756. RNAcentral describes it as "tRNA-Trp". It matches the Rfam family "tRNA". From Rfam's summary of the family: Transfer RNA (tRNA) molecules are approximately 80 nucleotides in length. Their secondary structure includes four short double-helical elements and three loops (D, anti-codon, and T loops). Further hydrogen bonds mediate the characteristic L-shaped molecular structure. tRNAs have two regions of fundamental functional importance: the anti-codon, which is responsible for specific mRNA codon recognition, and the 3' end, to which the tRNAs corresponding amino acid is attached (by aminoacyl-tRNA synthetases). tRNAs cope with the degeneracy of the genetic code in two manners: having more than one tRNA (with a specific anti-codon) for a particular amino acid; and 'wobble' base-pairing, i.e. permitting non-standard base-pairing at the 3rd anti-codon position. Lineage: Bacteria; Bacillati; Cyanobacteriota; Cyanophyceae; Nostocales; Nostocaceae. RNAcentral also lists the same sequence under 1 other name. The record is from RNAcentral.
UGCACAGAUGGUGUAAUGGCAGCAUCAAGGUCUCCAAAACCUUUGGUCAAGGUUCAAGCCCUUGUCUGUGCGU